CAGUAGCCACGGGAAUACGUAGGUGGCAAGCGUUGUCCGGAAUUAUUGGGCGUAAAGGGCUCGCAGGCGGUUUCUUAAGUCUGAUGUGAAAGCCCCCGGCUCAACCGGGGAGGGUCAUUGGAAACUGGGAAACUGAGUGCAGAAGAGGAGAGUGGAAUUCCACGUGUAGCGGUGAAAUGCGUAGAGAUGUGGAGGAACACCAGUGGCGAAGGCGACUCUCUGGUCCGUAACUGACGCUGAGGAGCGAAAGCGUGGGGAGCGAACAGGAUUAGAUACCCGCGUAGUCCCUGUCUCUUAUACA
This 301-nucleotide ribosomal RNA is filed under the name uncultured bacterium. Its description in RNAcentral is "partial 16S ribosomal RNA". It matches the Rfam family "Bacterial small subunit ribosomal RNA", at positions 509 to 808 of the family's 1533-position model. The record is from RNAcentral.